AAUGAAAAAUGGCUGAUUAUUUACUAGUCAGCCCCAAUAAAUUUAACAGAUGGCUUUUUAGCAGAAACAAUGAAGACUAAAAAGUGGGAUAACAUACUCAGUGUUCAAAAAACAAAACAAAACUUGUCAACUAAGAAUUCAAUCUCAGGGAUUUUAAAAUUGUCUUCAUUUAAAAUAAUCAAAAACUGGAGGCCAGACGUGGUGGCUCAAGCCUGUAAUCCCAGCACUUUGGGAGGCU
This 238-nucleotide long non-coding RNA is filed under the name Homo sapiens (human). RNAcentral's name for it is "non-protein coding lnc-OR6P1-2:1". The record is from RNAcentral. Lineage: Eukaryota; Metazoa; Chordata; Mammalia; Primates; Hominidae.